RNAcentral lists this transfer-messenger RNA (411 nucleotides) under Candidatus Gastranaerophilaceae. RNAcentral's name for it is "UBA2883 sp900768915 Standard tmRNA". It matches the Rfam family "transfer-messenger RNA". Rfam says of the family: Bacterial tmRNA, also known as 10Sa RNA or SsrA, is named for its dual tRNA and mRNA-like properties. Its role is to liberate the mRNA from a stalled ribosome. RNAcentral also lists the same sequence under 1 other name. Lineage: Bacteria; Bacillati; Candidatus Melainabacteria; Candidatus Gastranaerophilales. The record is from RNAcentral.
GGGGAUGUUUUGGAUUUGACAGGAUGUUUGAUUAAAUCAGGUUGCGGGUUCGGGUGCUGUUCCCGAUUAUCAACAAGCAAACAAAUUAAACGCUAAAAAUAACGUUGUAGAUGCAACUGCAGCUUUCGCUGCACGUAGAGCUCCAGAAGCUCUUGCUGCCUAAUUUCGCAGUAUGCUACCCUCUAAUGCCCAACUUGCCGGUAUUAUUGGGCCAUUAUGCAAGUACAGUGCUUCAAUAGUGGUAGAAGUAUCAAGUUAACCACCGAAGGUUGGUUUCUCCGUCAAAGAAACUGUGUUUAUAGUUUUGGUUUGGUGCCUUCCCAACUAUAUUCGAGAUAAUAAGAUACUACACUCGUAGGUAUCUGCUUUAAUUCAUUUUGGACGCGGGUUCGACUCCCGCCAUCUCCACCA